GUCGUAACAAGGUCUCCGUUGGUGAACCAGCGGAGGGAUCAUUACAGAGUUUACAACUCCCAAACCCCUGUGAACUUACCAUGUCGUUGCCUCGGCGGUGUCUUGCUUCGGCGAGCCCGCCAGAGGACCCAACAAACUCUUGUUUUUUUAGUAUUAUCUGAGUGACAAGUUUAAUAAAUCAAAACUUUCAACAACGGAUCUCUUGGUUCUGGCAUCGAUGAAGAACGCAGCGAAAUGCGAUAAGUAAUGUGAAUUGCAGAAUUCAGUGAAUCAUCGAAUCUUUGAACGCACAUUGCGCCCGCCAGUAUUCUGGCGGGCAUGCCUGUUCGAGCGUCAUUUCAACCCUCAAAACCCCGGUUUUGGUGUUGGAGAUCGGCAUGAGUCCUUCGGGGCGACGCCGUCUCCCAAAUAUAGUGGCGGUCUCGCUGUAGCUUCCUAUGCGUAGUAGCACACCUCGCACUGGAAAACAGCGUGCCCACGCCGUUAAACCCCCAACUUUCUGAAGUUUGACCUCGAAUCAGGUAGGAUUACCCGCUGAACUUAAGCAUAUCAAUA
RNAcentral lists this ribosomal RNA (555 nucleotides) under Calonectria sp. CBS 125514. RNAcentral's name for it is "eukaryotic LSU rRNA". The stretch from base 183 to 336 matches the Rfam family "5.8S ribosomal RNA". The record is from RNAcentral. Lineage: Eukaryota; Fungi; Ascomycota; Sordariomycetes; Hypocreales; Nectriaceae.